CGGGACGGGUGAGUAAUGUCUGGGAAACUGCCUGAUGGAGGGGGGUAACUACUGGAAACGGUAGCUAAUACCGCAUAACGUCGCAAGACCAAAGAGGGGGACCUUCGGGCCUCUUGCCAUCGGAUGUGCCCAGAUGGGAUUAGCUAGUAGGUGGGGUAACGGCUCACCUAGGCGACGAUCCCUAGCUGGUCUGAGAGGAUGACCAGUCACACUGGAACUGAGACACGGUCCAG
RNAcentral lists this ribosomal RNA (233 nucleotides) under uncultured bacterium. RNAcentral describes it as "partial 16S ribosomal RNA". It matches the Rfam family "Bacterial small subunit ribosomal RNA", at positions 100 to 334 of the family's 1533-position model. The record is from RNAcentral.